RNAcentral lists this RNase P RNA (342 nucleotides) under Candidatus Caccopulliclostridium gallistercoris. Its description in RNAcentral is "Bacterial RNase P class A". It matches the Rfam family "Bacterial RNase P class A". From Rfam's summary of the family: Ribonuclease P (RNase P) is a ubiquitous endoribonuclease, found in archaea, bacteria and eukarya as well as chloroplasts and mitochondria. Its best characterised activity is the generation of mature 5'-ends of tRNAs by cleaving the 5'-leader elements of precursor-tRNAs. The record is from RNAcentral. Lineage: Bacteria; Bacillati; Bacillota; Clostridia.
GGUUGGCCAGACGGUCGCGUUAAUGCUGUGGUGGCAUUACCGAGGAAAGUCCGAGCUUCAAGAGAACUGGGUGCCGGUUAACUGCCGGUGAAGGUAACUUUAAGGAAAGUGCAACAGAAAAUUACCGCCCGCUUAUGUGGGUAAGGUUGAAAAGGUGUGUGUAAGAGACCACCGACCCUUUGGUAACAAAGGGUGCCAUGUAAACCCCACCUGAAGCAAGGUUAAAAAAGGCAAUAGCGCUUGUUCUCUCGCGCCUUUUAAAAGCACCGCUUGACUAUUAUGGAGACAUAAUAGCUAGAUAGAUGACCGUUUAAUACAGAACUCGGCUUACAGACCAGCCUU